GACGAACGCUGGCGGCGUGCUUAACACAUGCAAGUCGAACGGACAGGCCCUGCUUUUGUGGUGUGCUUGAGUGGCGAACGGGUGAGUAACACGCGAGUAACCCGCCCCUGACUUUGGGAUAACUCCAGGAAACUCGGGCUAAUACCCGAUAGGAUCUUCUGCUCCAUGGUGGGGGUUGGAAAGUUUCGGCGGUUGGGGAUGGAAUCGCGGCUUAUCAGCUUGUUUGUGGGGUAGUGGCUUACCAAGGUUUUGACGGGUAGCCGGCCUGAGAAGGUGACCGGCCACAUUAGGACUGAGGUACGGAGCAGACUGGUACGGGAGGCAGCAGUGGGGAGUAUUGCGCAGUGGGCGGAAGCGUGAUGCAGCAGCGCCGCGAGCGUGAUGCCGGGCUUCGGGUUAUAAACCGCUUUCGCCUGUGACGAAGCGUGAGUGACGGUAAUGAGUAAAGAAGCACCGGCUAACUACGUG
This 468-nucleotide ribosomal RNA is filed under the name uncultured bacterium. Its description in RNAcentral is "partial 16S ribosomal RNA". It matches the Rfam family "Bacterial small subunit ribosomal RNA", at positions 28 to 507 of the family's 1533-position model. The record is from RNAcentral.